This is a long non-coding RNA of Bubalus bubalis (water buffalo), 2723 nucleotides long. RefSeq lists it as uncharacterized. The transcript has 3 exons. NCBI's taxonomy places the organism in Eukaryota, Metazoa, Chordata, Mammalia, Artiodactyla, Bovidae. The record is from RefSeq and is a predicted model, not a curated record.
AGCAUGGCUACCCGCUCCACUAUUCUUGCCUGGAGAAUCCUACGGACAGAGGAACCUGGCAGGCUGCAGUUCGUGGAAUCACAGAGUUGGACAUGACUGAGCACACACGCACACACUGCUUUUGUCUCAUUUGUUCUUAUGGUCCUCUAGAUGCAUUUUAUGACUUUUCAAAUUUUGGUAUUUCAAUAGACUUUUCUUGUUUUUGUUAUGUUGUCUUUGUUAUCUUCAUCUCAAAAUGCUUAUGAGAUGAAUAAAUUUGCAGUCAGCCCUGCUUGCAGAACUUGUCAUUUGUGAAACUGUGUUAUUAAGGAAUUCUGGAUAAUUAGUACGGAAGGUAGUCAUUUCAAGAAAUAUAAGACAUAUUCAGCUCAAGCUACUAAAUCAUUAUGUUUGGGCUUUUAUCAUGUCACUAAGCCCAAGAUUUCCUGUGAAAAUCAGCCAACGUCAAAAUAUACAAGCUUCUAAAAUUUUCUAGUACAGAUUCUAGAAAGAUAGAAUUAAUUUUUCAGUUUCCUCCUCUCCUACCCCCGCCCCACCUCACCUGGGAUUAGUGUAUAGUUAACUUGACUCUGUAAAUUUACUGCCAGUAAAAACUAACAAGAGUAUCUGCAUUGAAAUAGUUGUCUUGUGAUAUCACUUCUUAAAUAUAAUAAAUGCAACAGAUAUGAUGCAUAGCUUAUGCAUACUCUUUGCAUAGAGGUGAACAAGAGAUUUACCAUUUGGCAUAAGAUAUUUACAUCUGCUCAUCAAAAUAUGACUCCUUUUGUAGUCUUCUAAAGCCAUGCCUAUAAUAUACAUUAUUAUGGUAAUUUAAAAAAUGGAACAUAGAGUAGAAAAAAGAACAUGAUAAAUGCAUAUCAUCUUACUCUUUAUAGCUCCAGUAAAUUUUGUACCUUAGGCUAGACUGAAUACAUUUUGAGUUUCUCAUGCAACAAUCAUUUUGGAAAUGCGUCAGUCAACAGGCUUCCUUUACUCAUUAUUAUUUAGCCUAAAGAUCUGAGGAUCUGUUUUUAUUCUGCUAUCAAUUUAUUUCUAAGAAAUGUCCCUGCCUUUACCUUCUUGAAUGAAAAUUCCUUUCUUCCCAUUUAUAACGAUUGUAAAGCUAGACCCCUUUCCACCCUCGUUUCACCAACUAUUUUCAAGGGUCCCACAUUUCUUUUUCCACAGGAUGCAUUCCUCUACAAAUUAGCAUAACAGAUAUUUCUGAAACAGCAGCUGAGCCUCUAUAAAAGUAUUUUUCUCCUCUCUCAAAGUGUAGGAUAGAUAAUAUUUUUCAGGUUUCUUUUCUUUUUUAUGAUUUUCUAAGCAUUAAAUCCUUUAGUUCAAAUCCUGGAAAAAAUAACAGGGAAAGCAUGUGUUGAAUUACACAAAGGGCAUUCAACCUGGUUUCGACCUCAGUAGGAACAGUUGCAGCUUAGCUGUCCACUAUCCUUCCCUGUAAAGGUGAAAUGAUUUAGAGGCCUAGAGAAACUUAAUUUUUCUUGAUCACCAUGUGCAACCCGGAAUUUUAAUGGCAGGCAUAAUUAAUUCUUCUGAUGUUAAUCAUCAGGGCUGGGCUCCACAAUUAUCAGUCUGGUGCAGCUGGGGCAUGGUGCAGACAUGAAAAAUUAGGAAAAUGAAUCAGUAAUAGGGUGGCAGAUUUAAUCUGCAUCAUGAAAACAAAGUUAAAAAGAGGAAGAUCGAGAGAAUUUCAGCUGAAGCUUUUGUGCCAAUGCGCAGUGACAGAACUGAAAAAUGUUGCCGAUGUCCAAAGUGAUUGGUAAUUACCAAGCCAUUGAAUUUUUUAUUGUCAAUUUAUCAUGCGCCAGAGGUUAAAUUUAACAUCUUCUUCUAAAGCCAUCACUCUAAGAAGGCUCACUGCGCAUCACGUGGCUCAGAGUCAGCGAAAGGUUAAUCAGGAUUCUAGGCAACAGCCACCACCUGCUGCAGUUGCAAGAAGAAAAGAUCAAAGGACAGAAGUUUCAGAAAGCCUGUCUUGUGAGUGUUCAGGCAUAAGCCAUGUAGGUUAUCAAGAUGCAAGCAAAAAACUAAGGCACAAGUGGAGAGAUAACUGACCCAUAUCGCUCACGUUUUCUUCAGAGAGACUGAAUUAAGUGACAAAGUUGUGGUAAGGUCAGAAUUCAGUGGCUUGAACUUUAUCAAGAAAGGUUCUCAGAAUGAUCCAGGAUUGCACUACUUCAGAGCGGGGUCUUACCAGCGAGCAGCGAGUAGAGUCACACAGAUACGACUGGAUGAAGAUCUGGUCCUAAGACAGCCCUGUGUUGGAGUUCUCCCGCCUUCCGACCUCCAACAGUCCACCUUGAGAUUUCACUGUGUGUCCCACACUGGAGCCCUCGCUUAACUUUGUCUUUGGGCUGGCAUCACCAUCUCUCUCCAACUCCAGACCAUUGGCAAGUGGCAUUGUGUGUUCAUCCUCCUCCGUCAGAAGGAGCCUGCCACAAGCUUGGAGAGGACAAUCAGAUCAUCAGCAGCAUCACAGAAUGUACUUCUCUACCCAGCUCUCCUCCAACUUUAUGUCUCUCCAGGGAUGUCCUACAUAUUCUGCAAACCUGACCACUAGCAGACUGCCUCUAUUCCCCCUCCUGGCUGGGCUCAAACUGGGAAAACCUCUAGUUGCUGCUGCUGCUGCUAAGUCACUUCAGUCGUGUCCAAUUCUGUGCGACCCCAUAAACGGCAGCCCACCAGGCUCCCCCGUCCCUGGGAUUCUCCAGGCAAGAACACUG